This is a long non-coding RNA of Drosophila montana, 818 nucleotides long. RefSeq lists it as uncharacterized. The record is from RefSeq and is a predicted model, not a curated record. Lineage: Eukaryota; Metazoa; Arthropoda; Insecta; Diptera; Drosophilidae. The transcript has 4 exons.
GCUGCUCUGCUGAAACUAGUUGCUGCUGUUCUAUGAUCUCUUGCUGCCUUUGUCGUUGGUGCCAUGGCGGAAGAGAUCGAAUUGGUUGUGCAGAAAUAACUCGCUGUGACGCUGAUGAUGGGCCAUCCGCCCGGAUCUGCUGCUGCUGCUCAGCUGUUCGCUCGAUAAUUACGUGCUGCCUUUGUUGUUGAUGUCGUGGCAGGGGCGACCGAAUUGGAUUUGCAGAAUUAACUCGCUGCGUUUUUGUGGAUGGGCUAUCAGCCCGGCUCUGAUGCUGUUGCUCAGUGUUCCCCUUCUGCCUUUGUCGUUUGUGUCCUGGCAGAGGAAAACUAAUUGGCAGGCUAUGUUGUUGCUGUUGCCAUGGCUGGAGGGGCUGUCCUGUUGAGAUAAGUUGCUGCUGCUCUAUGAUGUGAAAUGUUGGUGUGGCUUCUGCUGGGCUCUGCUGCUGCCGCUCCAUGUUUCUCGGCUGUGUAAAUCUUUGUAUCAGAUGCUGUUUUUGUUUUUGGUGUCGUGGCAUGGGCGACCGAAUUGGCUCUGAAGAUGUUACUGGCUGCUGCUCAUUGUUUCCCGGUAACCCUUGUCGUUGAUGCUCUGGCAGCGGGAAUCUCAUUGGCAGGCUUUGUUGUUGUUGUUGCCAUGGCUGAAGGGGCCAGAUUGGAGGCAUGCCGAACAUGGCUAUGGUCAGCUCAGAGGCUCGCUUCUGCUGACAAACUUCGUGCUGCAUUUGCUCGCCUGCUAGUGUAUAUUGCUGCCUUGUCUGCUGUGGCCUGAAAAGUUCGUGUUGGAUUGUCGACACGGGGUGGUGAAGCCGCAGCGCG